Molecule: ribosomal RNA, 425 nt
Filed under: uncultured bacterium
Lineage: Bacteria
Description: partial 16S ribosomal RNA
Rfam family: Bacterial small subunit ribosomal RNA
Source: RNAcentral
GUGGGGAAUCUUGCGCAAUGGGCGAAAGCCUGACGCAGCCAUGCCGCGUGGAUGAUGAAGGUCUUAGGAUUGUAAAAUCCUUUCACCGGUGAAGAUAAUGACUGUAGCCGGAGAAGAAGCCCCGGCUAACUUCGUGCCAGCAGCCGCGGUAAUACGAAGGGGGCUAGCGUUGCUCGGAUUUACUGGGCGUAAAGGGCGCGUAGGCGGACAUUUAAGUCAGGGGUGAAAUCCCGGGGCUCAACCUCGGAAUUGCCUUGGAUACUGGGGGUCUGGAGUAUGAGAGAGGUGUGUGGAACGCCGAGUGUAGAGGUGAAAUUCGUAGAUAUGCGGAAGAACACCAGUGGCGAAGGCGACACACUGGCUCAUUACUGACGCUGAGGCGCGAAAGCGUGGGGAGCAAACAGGAUUAGAAACCCGGGUAGUCC